UUGCCCAAUGAUUAUAAAAAGACGCGUUGAGGACUUAAAUGCUGGACUUCUUCAUCUUCUUUCUUCCUUUUUCUGUACUACUUUUUCUUUCUUUGUCCAGCGUCCUGUGAGCGAAGAUUAUGAGAUAUGAGGGCAA
Small nucleolar RNA from Pipistrellus kuhlii (Kuhl's pipistrelle), 136 nucleotides. RefSeq annotates it as small nucleolar RNA SNORD97. The transcript has a single exon. The record is from RefSeq and is a predicted model, not a curated record. NCBI's taxonomy places the organism in Eukaryota, Metazoa, Chordata, Mammalia, Chiroptera, Vespertilionidae.